This 460-nucleotide ribosomal RNA is filed under the name uncultured bacterium. RNAcentral's name for it is "partial 16S ribosomal RNA". It matches the Rfam family "Bacterial small subunit ribosomal RNA", at positions 338 to 795 of the family's 1533-position model. The record is from RNAcentral.
CCUACGGGAGGCUGCAGUGAGGAAUAUUGGUCAAUGGGCGAGAGCCUGAACCAGCGAAGUCGCGUGAAGGAUGACGGCCCUACGGGUUGUAAACUUCUUUUGUCAGGGAGCAAUUGAGUCCACGUGUGGGCUUAGCGAGAGUACCUGAAGAUAAAGCAUCGGCUAACUCCGUGACAGCAGCCGCGGUUAUACGGAGGAUGCGAGCGUUAUCCGGAUUUAUUGGGUGUAAAGGGUGCGUAGGCGGAAUAGCAAGUCAGCUGUAAAAAUUCGGGGCUCAACCCCGUCGUGCCGUUGAAACUGAAGUUCUUGAGUGGGCGAGAAGUAUGCGGAAUGCGUGGUGUAGCGGUGAAAUGCAUAGAUAUCACGAAGAACUCCGAUUGCGAAGGCAGCAUACCGGCGCCCAACUGACGCUGAAGCACGAAAGCGUGGGUAUCGAACAGGAUUAGAUACCCUAGUAGUC